Non-coding RNA from Lolium perenne, 955 nucleotides. The record is from RefSeq and is a predicted model, not a curated record. Lineage: Eukaryota; Viridiplantae; Streptophyta; Magnoliopsida; Poales; Poaceae.
CUCUCUCUCUCGAUUAUAUCGAAAAUUAAAAGAAGUCAUCGCAAUGGCGCGACCCAACUCAACCAACCACACUUUGGCUCACUCGAUUCCCCUCGCGCGCGACUCCUCUUCCUCCGUCCCGGCGCCGGCCACCGCCUCCUCGCCGGCCGACCCAGCUCCUCCGCCGCUCCCCCGGCCAUCCCCCACCCACCCAAUCCCCUCCGCCUCCUACAAACCCUAGACGGCGAUCCUAAAAUCUUCGAUCCCCUUCCCAUUCCGCCGGCAGGCCUCGCCCCGCCCACCAGCCGCUCCUCCCUCUACACCUAAUGGGUCCUCGCUUCUGGACGCCGUGGCCGUACUGGUGGAGCCGUCCAGCGGCGUCGCCGGCGCCGUGAUGUUGACCACUGCAGGUGCUGAUGCAGCCUGAGGAGAAUCAGACUUUGCCGCCCUCCUGCUGCACGAGUCGUCUCUGACCCGCUGCUGCCGUCCACGACUAGGACAUGCUGCUGCACUCCACAUCCCCAACGAGCUGCUUGCUGCCCGUGAGGCUGACGGGCGUGAGGCCAGGGUACCGGCCUUGGGUGGUGUUCCCAUGUUGGUGGUGCCCUCCGGUGGUGUUCCAGUUGUGUUGAUGGUGCCCUCCGGUGGUGAUGUCCACCGGAGCUCCUGAUGUUGCUCUCCUUGAACGGCAACGACGAUGCCGGAAACGAGCUGCUGCUGAUUGACACCCCUGCCACGACAAGGAGGAUUGAGCGUAUCAAUAUGAAGUCAAGUCUGUGUCUUGCUGGUCUUGUGUGAAUGUGUGGUUGAAAGCAUAUCGGAGGAGGAGCUGAAGGCCGCGAAGCAGGGGUACCAGGAGGCCGUGUCGAAGGGGAACGGGAAGUAGGAAGCACUGUGGCGAACGCCAUCGGAGACAUCCACAGGUGCAUGCGGUGAGCCGCUCAGGUGGCUGCGAAUCGACUACACGGUCUCCGUU